This 2315-nucleotide ribosomal RNA is filed under the name metagenome. RNAcentral describes it as "bacterial LSU rRNA". It matches the Rfam family "Bacterial large subunit ribosomal RNA", at positions 730 to 2925 of the family's 2925-position model. The record is from RNAcentral.
CUACCCAUGGCCAGUGUGAAGCAGCUGUAAGAGGUUGUGGAGGCGCGAACCCACUUAGGUUGAAAACUGAGGGGAUGAGUUGUGGGUAGGGGUGAAAGGCCAAUCAAACUCCGUGAUAGCUGGUUCUCCCCGAAAUGCAUUUAGGUGCAGCGUCGUGUGUUUCCUCCUGGAGGUAGAGCUACUGGUUGGUUUAGCGGGACUAUCAUCUUAGCGACAUCAGCCAAACUCCGAAUGCCAGGUUAGGUCAGAGCACGGCAGUGAGACUGCGGGGGAUAAGCUUCGUAGUCGAGAGGGAAACAGCCCAGAUCGCCGGCUAAGGCCCCUAAGGGUGUGCUAAGUGGAAAAGGAUGUGGGAUCGCGAAGACAACCAGGAGGUUGGCUUAGAAGCAGCCAUCCUUGAAAGAGUGCGUAAUAGCUCACUGGUCGAGUGGUUCUGCGCCGACAAUGUAGUGGGGCUCAAGUACACCGCCGAAGCCGCGGCAAUCACCAUUUUGUGGUGGUUGGGUAGGGGAGCGUCGCGUAUGUGCUGUGAAGCGCUGGGGUGACCCUAGUGUGGAGUGUGCGCGAGUGAGAAUGCAGGCAUGAGUAGCGAAUGAGGAGUGGAAAACUCCUCCGCCGAAUGACUAAGGGUUCCUGGGCCAGGUUAAUCCUCCCAGGGUGAGUCGGGACCUAAGGCGAGGCCGACAGGCGUAGUCGAUGGAUAACGGGUUGAUAUUCCCGUACCCGUGUGUCCGCGCCCAUGGUGAAUCAGGGAUACUAACCCACCUGAACACGCGCCUUGUGCCAGCCUUUUAGGUUGGUUGGUGUGUGUGAUGCUGGGGACCUGAACUGGUAGUAGCCAAGUGAUGGGGUGACGCAGGAAGGUAGCCGUGCCACGUGAUGGAUAUCGUGGUGUAAGCGUGUGGCCCGUGUUCUAGGUAAAUCCGGAGCACAUUCAAGGGUGAGGCGUGAUGCGUACCCGUUUUUGGGGAAGUUGGUGAUCCUAUGCUGCCGAGAAAAGCCUCUAGCGAUGUGGAUAUACGGCCCGUACCCGAAACCGACACAGGUAGUCAGGUAGAGAAUACUAAGGCGAUCGGGAUAACUGUGGUUAAGGAACUCGGCAAAAUGCCCCCGUAACUUCGGGAGAAGGGGGGCCAUGACUGGUGACCGACGUGGUUGAGCUGGUUGUGGCCGCAGAGAAUAGAGGGAAGCGACUGUUUACUAAAAACACAGGUCCGUGCGAAGACAUUUAAGUCGAGGUAUACGGACUGACGCCUGCCCGGUGCUGGAAGGUUAAGAGGACCUGUUAGAUCCCUUUGUGGGUCGAAGCGGAGAAUUUAAGCCCCAGUAAACGGCGGUGGUAACUAUAACCAUCCUAAGGUAGCGAAAUUCCUUGUCGGGUAAGUUCCGACCUGCACGAAUGGCGUAACGACUUCUCUGCUGUCUCAACCACAGGCCCGGUGAAAUUGCACUACGAGUAAAGAUGCUCGUUACGCGCGGCAGGACGAAAAGACCCCGGGACCUUCACUAUAGCUUGGUAUUGGUGUUCGGUUCGGUUUGUGUAGGAUAGGUGGGAGACUGUGAUGCCUCAACGCCAGUUGGGGUGGAGUCGUUGUUGAAAUACCACUCUGAUCGUAUUGGACAUCUCAACCUCGGCCCGUGAUCCGGGUUAGGGACAGUGCCUGGUGGGUAGUUUAACUGGGGCGGUUGCCUCCCAAAGAGUAACGGAGGCGCCCAAAGGUUCCCUCAGCCUGGUUGGCAAUCAGGUGUUGAGUGUAAGUGCACAAGGGAGCUUGACUGUGAGACUGACAGGUCGAGCAGGUAGGAAACUAGGGACUAGUGAUCCGGCACCGGCUUGUGGAAGCGGUGUCGCUCAACGGAUAAAAGGUACCCCGGGGAUAACAGGCUGAUCUUCCCCAAGAGUCCAUAUCGACGGGAUGGUUUGGCACCUCGAUGUCGGCUCGUCGCAUCCUGGGGCUGGAGUAGGUCCCAAGGGUUGGGCUGUUCGCCCAUUAAAGCGGCACGCGAGCUGGGUUUAGAACGUCGUGAGACAGUUCGGUCUCUAUCCGCCGCGCGCGUAGAAACUUGAGGAAGGCUGUCCCUAGUACGAGAGGACCGGGAUGGACGUACCUCUGGUGUGCCAGUUGUCCCGCCUGGGGCAUGGCUGGUUGGCUACGUACGGAAGGGAUAACCGCUGAAAGCAUCUAAGCGGGAAGCCUGUUCCAAGAUUAGGUUUCUUUUGAGGUCCCCUAUAGAUGAUGGGGUUGAUAGGCCGGAUCUGGAAGCAUCGUAAGGUGUGGAGGUGACCGGUACUAAUAGACCAAACAUUCAACACA